Molecule: ribosomal RNA, 478 nt
Filed under: uncultured bacterium
Lineage: Bacteria
Description: partial 16S ribosomal RNA
Rfam family: Bacterial small subunit ribosomal RNA
Source: RNAcentral
GACGAACGCUGGCGGCGUGCUUAACACAUGCAAGUCGAACGGUAAGGCCCUUCGGGGUACACGAGUGGCGAACGGGUGAGUAACACGUGGGUGAUCUGCCCUGCACUUCGGGAUAAGCCUGGGAAACUGGGUCUAAUACCGGAUAGGACCACUGCCUGCAUGGGUGGUGGUGGAAAGCUUUUGCGGUGUGGGAUGGGCCCGCGGCCUAUCAGCUUGUUGGUGGGGUGAUGGCCUACCAAGGCGACGACGGGUAGCCGGCCUGAGAGGGUGACCGGCCACACUGGGACUGAGAAAGGGCGCAGACGCCUACGGGGGGCAGCAGUGGGGAAUAUUGGACAAUGGGCGGAAGGCUGAUCCAGAGACGCCGCGUGGGGGAUAACGGCCUUCGGUUUGUAAAGCUCUUUCAGUACCGGCGAAGGGAGAGUGACGGUAGGUACAGAAGAAGCACCGGCCAACUACGUGCCAGCAGCAGCCGCGG